CGCCAUCUUCUUUAAAUAUUCACAGAGUCGGGCAAAAAAUUGAAUUUUUAAGCGUUUUUUGACUCCCAGAUAAGUUUCAAAAAAAUUCAAAAAUUUUAACAACUUAAUUCAUCGGCCAAACUGCUAAUUAGCCGAAAAUUUCAAUUUCUUCAUUUCAUUAUUAGAAUUUAUACCUUUUCAUCACAAACUUAUGUGUCUGGGAAUUAAAAAAUAUGUAAAUGUUUAACAGUGCCCAAACUUGCCUGGCCCGGCCCUGGGGAUUUUUUAGGCCCGGCCCCAUUUAUUAUUUGGCAUUUGUGCGUGAAAUUUUGAGUCUAAAAAGGUAUCUUUAAAACAAUUCUGAUCGUAAGCAAGUCAGCAAAAGAAUUAACAAGAUGUCAAUAUAUUGAUUGUGUUAACUUCAACCACUUCUUACUUCAACGUUACAGAAUUAUGAUUGUGCAAUCUUUUUUGGAGGCGAAAUUAUUUAUAACCACAUCGAAAUCAAAGGCAUUCAAUCGUUCUUGCCAAUUGUUGACCUCAGAUAAUUCUUGAUUAUUUUCAUCUGCAAAAUGGCCCCUCAUUUGACGGAACAGAAAUGGGCAGACUGAGAAACAUCCUCAGUGCCAUCUCGAAGUUUAGAUACGCACACGCGAGACCAUUAAUAUGUAUAUAUGUAGAAUUUUCAGGAUAUCCAAGGGUCCUAGUUUAAUUAGGUCUUUUUCAACUUUGUUAAACACCGACAUAGUAGUGCCCAGACUUUGAACUUCGUUUAAAAAUGUAGGGCCGCAAAACCCGCAUGGGUACAAUUUGCGUUAUUAUACCUUACGCGCUAUAAAGUUUGAAAAUUGAACUAUUUAAGAGUUUUUAAAAAAUUAUUUUGAUUUGUUCUUCGAACUAUCAUUUUCACCGAAGGACCUGGUAUGCAUCUGCAUUGUGUACAAAUAGGUGCAAUAGCUCCAGAUUUUUUAAUGUCUUCGGUGAUACAAAAUCUACCCGGUACGUUUCUUUAUUUGGUCAGCAAAAAUAUCGAAAUCGAAGUUGGGCUUAUCAUUUUGACUGCACAAUUUCCUGCUUUAGUAAUUUAGUAAAAUCAAGCAUGUCCUGUUUUCGCCCUGUGACAAUGUGACAUAGGGUCUUACACAAAAUUUUCAGGUUAGCGACGAAUGGUCGACAAACGUUUCGUCGAAACCUGAUUAGUCGACAAAACAGAUAUGUGGUCGGCAGAAAAUUGGUCGAAACAGUGUAUAUGUCGAACAUGUCAUACUGGUCCCCAACUUAAAGUGGUCGACAACAUAUUAGUCGACCAACGUUACAAGUUUUAAGUAAUCCUUGCAUGGGAAGAUGUAUAAUUUUAUUACUACUUAUCCAGAAAUUCUGCCAAAAGAUAGCAUUACAUCGAUAAGUGAAAAUUGCAGUGGCAUAAGUUAAAAAUAUUACCAUAUUUGAUCCAAAUUAACAUUUUUCUAUCACGGUAUGUGGACUUAGAAUUGAUACGCCGGGCUUGUUUCUCCCAGAUUUUUUGCAACAUGCACAAUUCCGCACAUCUAUCAAAUACACAAAGUUUUAGUUCAAAACUCGGGCCGAUAAGAAAAAAACCAUCGUUUUUAAUUUUAAAAUAAUUACUUAAAACAACUCCAUUUCCCAUAACAGAACAAUGCGUUAUGCAGGAAGACUGCAAAUCAAUUGAUGUGGAUAUGGAAUAGUUUUAUUUAUUUUGAAGUUAAAAAUCGAUGAUCGAGUUUUUAAUUGAACUAAAGGUUAUUCAUUUAAUACAUAUAAAUAUGUGUGAAAAUGUACAUGUUGCAAAAAAAUCUGGGAGAAACACGCCUGCCGAACCCAUUGGUACCGAAAUCGUGAAGACAAAUAUUUUGUCGACGAGCUGAGAUUGGGGACCAGCUGGUUGUCGACCAAUAUGAUGUUGACGAGACAGUUUGUCGGCCACCCACUCGUCCGGAGCCCCAGAUUUUCAGCUUAAAUUCUACCUUUUAUUCCAAGGUAGGUACAUAACCAUUGUUAGCUAUUGUUCUUUUAUGAUCGACAAUGUGAUGGCAUAGGUGCCUUUGUAGAUUCGACAUUUAAACCCAAUGUGGCUGUUCAAAAUCUUCGAAGCAAUUAAGGACUUGUGAUAGGUAGCGAACUUGUUCGUACAAUAAUUUUAGUGGACACAACUACCCGAUACCUUCUGGGGAUUACACCUGCCCUAGCUUUUUUAGUGUUUUCGGAGAGGUAAAAAAAUUAUGAUGCAUUUUUUACUUGGUCAGCCCAAGUAAGAAUGCAUAGAUUGGGCUUAUAAUUUUCACGCCAUAAUUUCUCCAUUUUAAUAAUUUGAAAGAAUCAAGGAUAAAUUAUUUUAGGCUCACAAAAGUGAAAAGAGUUUUUUUUAACUAUGUUUUAAUUUUAGGGUAAUUAUUGUUUAUUUCUGUUCGAUAUUGGCACGCUACGAAAUUGCUCAAAAUCUUCGAAACGUUUAAAUAAUUUUCCGUGAAAUUUUGUAGUGGACACCAAGGCCCGGCCCCCUUCGGGGCCCGGCCCUGGGGAAAACCCCCACCUGGCAGCCCCUCUUUCAGGCGCGAGAACGACAGGAUCCGUGAGUCGGGUCGCGUACGCGUCGCAGUACCACCGCGGGCGUGGGUAUUAUGUUCCAGUCUUUGUGAGAGGGGGAGGAGGAGGAGGUGGUAGUGGGGGCGGUUUGGGGAGGAGGAGGCACACCUGCAAUUUGCAAGGGGAGGGGGAAGAGGAGACUGAUUUUUUCUGGAUGUGGGCAGUACUCGUGGCCAUUGGGGUGUUUGGUAUAUUUUGGCUAAUUUAUAAAAAAUGGACCAACAAGCUUUAAUUAACUGACCAAUUAUAAUUAAGAAUGCCUAAUGUCCAACCAGGGUAAUGUAGAUUUAUUAAUUGUGCAUGAACAGAGUCGUACAUACAUAAACUGCUUAAUAUAUCUAAUUUGCUAAAUUUUGCAUAUUAUUCUGAGAUAAAAGACUCAGCCCGACAAUAAAUUCAAGUUGUGCGUUUAGAAAUAAUAUUUAAAACCUGGACAAA
This is a long non-coding RNA of Folsomia candida, 3021 nucleotides long. RefSeq lists it as uncharacterized. The record is from RefSeq and is a predicted model, not a curated record. NCBI's taxonomy places the organism in Eukaryota, Metazoa, Arthropoda, Collembola, Entomobryomorpha, Isotomidae. The transcript is spliced from 2 exons.